UACGUAGGGGGCUAGCGUUGUCCGGAAUCAUUGGGCGUAAAGAGCGUGUAGGCGGCCCGGUAAGUCCGCUGUGAAAGUCGGGGGCUCAACCCUCGAAUGCCGGUGGAUACUGUCGGGCUAGAGUGCGGAAGAGGCGAGUGGAAUUCCUGGUGUAGCGGUGAAAUGCGCAGAUAUCAGGAGGAACACCGAUUGCGAAGGCAGCUCGCUGGGACGUCACUGACGCUGAGGCGCGAAAGCUAGGGGAGCAAACGGG
This 253-nucleotide ribosomal RNA is filed under the name uncultured bacterium. RNAcentral describes it as "partial 16S ribosomal RNA". It matches the Rfam family "Bacterial small subunit ribosomal RNA", at positions 524 to 776 of the family's 1533-position model. The record is from RNAcentral.